This 722-nucleotide ribosomal RNA is filed under the name Debaryomyces hansenii. Its description in RNAcentral is "partial large subunit ribosomal RNA". It matches the Rfam family "Eukaryotic large subunit ribosomal RNA", at positions 176 to 917 of the family's 3401-position model. Lineage: Eukaryota; Fungi; Ascomycota; Pichiomycetes; Serinales; Debaryomycetaceae. The record is from RNAcentral.
CUCGUCUAUGUUCCUUGGAACAGGACGUCACAGAGGGUGAGAAUCCCGUGCGAUGAGAUGCCCAAUUCUAUGUAAAGUGCUUUCGAAGAGUCGAGUUGUUUGGGAAUGCAGCUCUAAGUGGGUGGUAAAUUCCAUCUAAAGCUAAAUAUUGGCGAGAGACCGAUAGCGAACAAGUACAGUGAUGGAAAGAUGAAAAGAACUUUGAAAAGAGAGUGAAAAAGUACGUGAAAUUGUUGAAAGGGAAGGGCUUGAGAUCAGACUUGGUAUUUUGCGAUCCUUUCCUUCUUGGUUGGGUUCCUCGCAGCUUACUGGGCCAGCAUCGGUUUGGAUGGUAGGAUAAUGACUAAGGAAUGUGGCUCUACUUCGGUGGAGUGUUAUAGCCUUGGUUGAUACUGCCUGUCUAGACCGAGGACUGCGUCUUUUGACUAGGAUGUUGGCAUAAUGAUCUUAAGCCACCCGUCUUGAAACACGGACCAAGGAGUCUAACGUCUAUGCGAGUGUUUGGGUGUAAAACCCGUACGCGUAAUGAAAGUGAACGUAGGUGAGAGCUCUUAAGAGUGCAUCAUCGACCGAUCCUGAUGUCUUCGGAUGGAUUUGAGUAAGAGCAUAGCUGUUGGGACCCGAAAGAUGGUGAACUAUGCCUGAAUAGGGUGAAGCCAGAGGAAACUCUGGUGGAGGCUCGUAGCGGUUCUGACGUGCAAAUCGAUCGUCGAAUUUGGGUA